AUGGAGGGCCUUCUACAUUGGGACUUCUCGCCCGGCCUCGCGGUCGCAGCUCAGGUGCAUCGACGUUUUGGAUCUUCUGUGCAUUUCUCCCCCGAUGGAUCGACCAAGGAGUUUUUUUUGGUUGUGUACUUUUCAUCGGCCUCCUUCUCUUUGACUGAAGAAUCAGUGGCCAUUGCUCUACAAUGCUGCAUCGGAGGUUUACCUUCUGGUCUUAAUGUGCAACAUAUUGAGGGUAGAUCUUUUCACUUUUCUGUGGCGUCCAGUCGUGUGGGACAUUAUGUCUAUGGCCUCAAGGAUCGAAUUUGGGCGGACUUUGUUUGUCAUUUUCAACCUAUCGCCCUAGUUACAUUCGAUCAAAGUGUUUGGACAAUGUUUGGCAUUCUGAUGUUCAUAGCCCUGAGGUGGCUUCUCGUUCCCCGAUUGCAAUAA
RNAcentral lists this ribosomal RNA (429 nucleotides) under Triticum aestivum (bread wheat). RNAcentral describes it as "partial small subunit ribosomal RNA". The record is from RNAcentral. Lineage: Eukaryota; Viridiplantae; Streptophyta; Magnoliopsida; Poales; Poaceae.